CGCGCGCGGAGCCCCAUAGGUAUAGAAAUGGUCUAUAACUAGGCCACUCAGUUUUUGUCUAUAUAGGUAUAGAAAUGGUCUAUAACUAGGCGACUCAGUUUUUGUGGUCAAUGACGUCAAUCUGCCAGCCAGCCAGCCGCGAUCUGCCUCGGCACAGUCCUCCAGAGCGCGCAAAACAAUAUGGCGGAUGAGUAUUUCUGCCUCUCUCAAAAACACACGAAAACUGACUGCAGAAAAGCUAAGAAUUGUCGAAAAAGAAGUGCUUGAAAACAAUCAUUCGUAGAAAUGCUAACCAUGGAUAUGAACUUGUCUAAUUAUGUGCAAAAGACUGUUUAAAAGCAUGGUUGAAAGUUUUAAAGAGUCAAGUCUUGUGCUCGAGUCAAGGUCAGCUGAAAUGUCAGAGUAAGCCACAAGAUAAAGAAAGAAAAAACAAGCUAAUUUUAUAGACACCUUCUCCGACAAGUGCUCCUAUGUAUUUGUUCUUGCACAGGCAGACGUAGGUUAAUCUUAGCCAGAGAUUCUGAAAUCAAGCUGAGACAAAAGCUGCUGACUAAGAGGCAUGACCCAGGGCAGGAUGUACAUAUAAGGCAUUGGUAUUUAAUGUAGGUCACCAAAAAUAAACACAUACUAAGUAACAAAAAUUAAGAUAAUAUUUUAAUGGAAAAUUGUUCUAAAAAAAUGAACCAGGGUUAUAAAAGUAAAAAAACCUAGUUUUUUCCAAGUUAACCUGACAUGUUCUUGUAUAAUGUGUGGUUAGUGACAUUUAGGCAAUUUAGGUUCAUAAAUAGUCUCUUGCUAUUACAAUGACUCACUGAGGUAGUAAGUUAAUCA
This is a long non-coding RNA of Nematostella vectensis (starlet sea anemone), 831 nucleotides long. RefSeq lists it as uncharacterized. The record is from RefSeq and is a predicted model, not a curated record. The transcript has 2 exons. NCBI's taxonomy places the organism in Eukaryota, Metazoa, Cnidaria, Anthozoa, Actiniaria, Edwardsiidae.